This 122-nucleotide non-coding RNA is filed under the name Sciurus vulgaris (Eurasian red squirrel). Lineage: Eukaryota; Metazoa; Chordata; Mammalia; Rodentia; Sciuridae. The record is from RNAcentral.
GUAUUGUAUGAAAGGAGAGAGCAUUAACACUCCCUCCACAAGGACAAAAGACAAGGAUGGAUGCGACAUGCAUAUAGGUAAGGCACUGUCACCUUCUUCACAGAGUCUAACCAUCCUUUUUU